RNAcentral lists this long non-coding RNA (207 nucleotides) under Elaeis guineensis (African oil palm). RNAcentral's name for it is "long non-coding RNA (EGUI_LNC026770)". The record is from RNAcentral. Lineage: Eukaryota; Viridiplantae; Streptophyta; Magnoliopsida; Arecales; Arecaceae.
AAUCAAAUUAUCCGUAACAUGAAAUCAAAUUCUCAAAAUAUUCCUAAUAAUUUUAUCUCGAUGCUUUUUUUUCUUGAUGAUAAGUAACAAGAGUGAUGUGGAUGUGAUGGUGGUACGAAGAAGUGACAAGCCAAAGGAUGUAGGGAAUCGUGGGCGUUGGAGAGGUGGAGAGGGAGUGGGCAUGUGUGGAGUCAUGGGAGUGGAGGA